GCUGGCGGCAGGCUUAACACAUGCAAGUCGAACGGUAGCAGGAAGAAAGCUUGCUUUCUUUGCUGACGAGUGGCGGACGGGUGAGUAAUGCUUGGGAAUCUGGCUUAUGGAGGGGGAUAACUGUGGGAAACUGCAGCUAAUACCGCGUAAUCUCUGAGGAGUAAAGGGUGGGACCUAUUGGCCACCUGCCAUAAGAUGAGCCCAAGUGGGAUUAGGUAGUUGGUGGGGUAAAGGCCUACCAAGCCUGCGAUCUCUAGCUGGUCUGAGAGGAUGACCAGCCACACUGGAACUGAGACACGGUCCAGACUCCUACGGGAGGCAGCAGUGGGGAAUAUUGCGCAAUGGGGGGAACCCUGACGCAGCCAUGCCGCGUGAAUGAAGAAGGCCUUCGGGUUGUAAAGUUCUUUCGGUAAUGAGGAAGGGAUGUUGUUUAAUAGAUAGCAUCAUUGACGUUAAUUACAGAAGAAGCACCGGCUAACUCCGUGCCAGCAGCCGCGGUAAUACGGAGGGUGCGAGCGUUAAUCGGAAUAACUGGGCGUAAAGGGCACGCAGGC
This 554-nucleotide ribosomal RNA is filed under the name Pasteurella multocida. RNAcentral describes it as "bacterial SSU rRNA". It matches the Rfam family "Bacterial small subunit ribosomal RNA", at positions 35 to 576 of the family's 1533-position model. Lineage: Bacteria; Pseudomonadati; Pseudomonadota; Gammaproteobacteria; Pasteurellales; Pasteurellaceae. The record is from RNAcentral.